CAAGGAAUUUUCCGCAAUGGGCGCAAGCCUGACGGAGCAACGCCGCGUGCGGGAUGACGCCCUUCGGGGUGUAAACCGCUUUUCGGGGGGACGAAGGCAGUGACGGUACCCCCGGAAGAAGGCCCGGCUAACUACGUGCCAGCAGCCGCGGUAAGACGUAGGGGCCGAGCGUUGUCCGGAGUUACUGGGCGUAAAGGGCGCGCAGGCGGCCGGUCGCAUCGGCGGUGAAAGCCCCCCGCUCAACGGGGGAGGGUCCGUCGAGAUGGAUCGGCUGGAGGCAGGGAGAGGGCGGUGGAAUUCCGGGUGUAGUGGUGAAAUGCGUAGAGAUCCGGAGGAACACCAGUGGCGAAGGCGGCCGCCUGGACCUGACCUGACGCUGAGGCGCGAAGGCGUGGGGAGCGAACGG
This 406-nucleotide ribosomal RNA is filed under the name uncultured organism. Its description in RNAcentral is "bacterial SSU rRNA". It matches the Rfam family "Bacterial small subunit ribosomal RNA", at positions 355 to 775 of the family's 1533-position model. The record is from RNAcentral.